This 253-nucleotide ribosomal RNA is filed under the name uncultured bacterium. RNAcentral describes it as "partial 16S ribosomal RNA". It matches the Rfam family "Bacterial small subunit ribosomal RNA", at positions 524 to 776 of the family's 1533-position model. The record is from RNAcentral.
UACGAAGGGGGCUAGCGUUGCUCGGAAUGACUGGGCGUAAAGGGCGCGUAGGCGGCUGUGACAGUCAGAUGUGAAAUUCCUGGGCUCAACCUGGGGGCUGCAUUUGAUACGUGAUGGCUGGAGUGGGGAAGAGGGUCGUGGAAUUCCCAGUGUAGAGGUGAAAUGCGUAGAUAUCCGGAGGAAUACCAAAGGCGAAGGCAGUGUCCUGGCUGGCAUCUGACGCUGAGGCGCGAAAGCUAGGGGAGCGAACAGG